RNAcentral lists this long non-coding RNA (499 nucleotides) under Brassica rapa (field mustard). RNAcentral's name for it is "long non-coding RNA (BRAP_LNC000444)". The record is from RNAcentral. Lineage: Eukaryota; Viridiplantae; Streptophyta; Magnoliopsida; Brassicales; Brassicaceae.
UUGUAUGUAAAAUAUUAUACAGCGAUUGAUUAUAAUCAAGUUAUAAUAACUAUCCAAAUCGCUACAUCAGUUUUAAUAAAUAUAUCAUAUAUAUAUAUAUAUCUGACUAGAUUCAGAUCAAUAUUAUGCAAGUAGGCUCUGAUACCACUGUUGGAAUUCAUACUAGUUUAUAACAAUUUAUAAAUCAACCUAUAAAUUUAGUUUUCAUAGAUUUCAUGUAAAUACUGAAAUGAAUCUAGAUCUUAUGGUUUGAAAUAUACCUGAUUAUUUGCAACAGAAAGAUGAAUUAAUAAAACCAAAUCGAGACUUAAAGCACUCCAAACAUUGUGUCUCUACCGAUAUCCACACGCACACAAACUGGAUUGAUUCGGGAUGCUAGUGCCGUCGAGAUCAAAUCUCAAAACUUUGAUGAACUCAUUGUUGCUUGCAUAAGAAGAAAACAAUUUUCUUCUUCACACCUUUACGUCUCGAUUGUAAAGUGCGGCCAGCCAUCUUUAUU